RNAcentral lists this non-coding RNA (156 nucleotides) under Alphaproteobacteria bacterium. Its description in RNAcentral is "6S RNA". It matches the Rfam family "6S / SsrS RNA". Rfam says of the family: E. coli 6S RNA was the first non coding RNA to be sequenced, but its function was unknown until recently. It consists of 184 nucleotides that fold into an extended hairpin structure with a large single-stranded internal bulge. The record is from RNAcentral. Lineage: Bacteria; Pseudomonadati; Pseudomonadota; Alphaproteobacteria.
CGGUCACUGUCUCGCGCGUCAGGUUGCGAUGCCCAGGGGCCUUAAUUGUACUCAUCGGGAGUUGUCCCUGCCUGGGAUCGUGGUCCCGGGCACACGACGCCCACCUGCAUUUGCAGGCCCAUGAGAUCCAAUACCAACGGCAAGUACGGUACCGUC